Molecule: ribosomal RNA, 497 nt
Filed under: uncultured bacterium
Lineage: Bacteria
Description: partial 16S ribosomal RNA
Rfam family: Bacterial small subunit ribosomal RNA
Source: RNAcentral
GAUGAACGCUGGCGGCGUGCCUAAUACAUGCAAGUCGAGCGCUGAAGCUUGGUGCUUGUACCAAUUGGAUUAGCGGCGAACGGGUGAGUAACGCGUGGGUAAUCUGCCUUUUAGCGGGGGACAACAUCGGGAAACGAAUGCUAAUACCGCAUAAUAACUUUAAACGCAAGUUUUAAGUUUGAAAGAUGCCUUUGCAGCACUCAAAGAUGAUCCCGCGUUGUAUUAGCUAGUUGGUGAGGUAAAGGCCCACCCAGGCGAGGAUACAUAGCCCACCUGGGAGGGUGAUCGGCCCCAUUGGGACUGAGACACGGGCCAAAAUCCUACGGGGGGCAGCAGUAGGGAAUCUUCGGGAAUGGGCGAAAAUCUGACCGGGCAACGCCGCGUGAGUGAAGAAGGGUUUCGGGUCGUAAAAAUCUGUUGGUAGGGAAGAAAGUAGGUGAGAGUGGAAAGCUCAUCAAGUGACGGUAACUAAACAGAAAGGCACGGCUAACUACGUG